This 405-nucleotide ribosomal RNA is filed under the name uncultured bacterium. Its description in RNAcentral is "partial 16S ribosomal RNA". It matches the Rfam family "Bacterial small subunit ribosomal RNA", at positions 28 to 526 of the family's 1533-position model. The record is from RNAcentral.
GACGAACGCUGGCGGCGUGCUUAACACAUGCAAGUCGAACGAAGCGGGGACGGGUUAGUAACACGUGGAUAACCUCCUAUACGACUGGGAUAAAUUCGGGAAACCGGAGCUAAACCGGCUAAUUAUAUAUGGAUCAGCGCGGCAUUAGCUAGUUGGUAAGGUAACGGCGUACCAAGGCAACGAUGGAUAGCCGACCUGAGGGGGUGAUCGGCAAAACGGGACCUGAGACACGGUCCAGCCUCCUAGGGGAGGAAGCAGUAGGGAAUCUUCCGCAAUGGGCGAAAGCCUGACGGAGAAACGCCGCGUGAGUGAUGAAGGCCUUCGGAUCGUAAAACUCUGUUAUUAGGGAAGCGGUACCUAAUCAGAAAGCCACGGCUAACUACGUGCCAGCAGCCGCGGUAAUAC